RNAcentral lists this ribosomal RNA (402 nucleotides) under uncultured bacterium. RNAcentral's name for it is "bacterial SSU rRNA". It matches the Rfam family "Bacterial small subunit ribosomal RNA", at positions 355 to 774 of the family's 1533-position model. The record is from RNAcentral.
UGGGGAAUAUUGCACAAUGGGGGAAACCCUGAUGCAGCGACGCCGCGUGAGCGAAGAAGUAUUUCGGUAUGUAAAGCUCUAUCAGCAGGGAAGAAACUGACGGUACCUGACUAAGAAGCACCGGCUAAAUACGUGCCAGCAGCCGCGGUAAUACGUAUGGUGCAAGCGUUAUCCGGAUUUACUGGGUGUAAAGGGAGCGUAGACGGAUGUGCAAGUCUGGAGUGAAAGCCCGGGGCUCAACCCCGGGACUGCUUUGGAAACUGUAUAUCUAGAGUGCUGGAGAGGUAAGUGGAAUUCCUAGUGUAGCGGUGAAAUGCGUAGAUAUUAGGAGGAACACCAGUGGCGAAGGCGGCUUACUGGACAGUAACUGACGUUGAGGCUCGAAAGCGUGGGGAGCAAACA